RNAcentral lists this unclassified non-coding RNA (195 nucleotides) under uncultured Cortinarius. RNAcentral's name for it is "sequence contains ITS2". Lineage: Eukaryota; Fungi; Basidiomycota; Agaricomycetes; Agaricales; Cortinariaceae. The record is from RNAcentral.
AUAUAAUCUCAACCCCUUUUUCUUUUUGUUGAAGGGUUUUGGAUGUGGGGGGUUUGCUGGCCUUCUUAAAGAGGGUUCAGCUCCCCUGAAAUGCAUUAGCAGAAACGACCUUGCUCAUUGGUGUGAUAACUAUCAACGCUUAUGAAUGUGAGGGGCAGUUCAGCUUUCUAACCGUCUUUGGACAAUUCAUCAUUA